AGAUGUGAAUGAGAUCUGGCUGUGCCAUCUGUCAUCCCACUGAUUUUGAGGGUGGAUUCAGCAUCUCUGGUUGGGUAGGUGGGUGUCCCCUUCCUUCCUCAGUGCUCCAUAAGCAUCCCUCUUGAAGCUGCAUGUUUGGUCAAAGAGGAUGACGUUCCCCAAAUAAGAGUAGCUGUACUCUCAUGCUAGAACCUCCAAACAAGCUCUCAAGCCUGAUAGGAAAAUACACAAAGUUGUCCUUCAUACCAACACUGAAGGAAUUCCUGUAGCCCCUGCACUAGCAGGGAAGAUGAACUG
RNAcentral lists this small nuclear RNA (297 nucleotides) under Jaculus jaculus (lesser Egyptian jerboa). RNAcentral's name for it is "7SK RNA (ENSJJAG00000003395.1)". It matches the Rfam family "7SK RNA". From Rfam's summary of the family: 7SK was discovered as an abundant small nuclear RNA in the mid-70s but a possible function has only recently been suggested. Two independent studies have found that 7SK RNA binds the CDK9/cyclin T complex (known as elongation factor P-TEFb). The record is from Rfam by way of RNAcentral. Lineage: Eukaryota; Metazoa; Chordata; Mammalia; Rodentia; Dipodidae.